Molecule: ribosomal RNA, 497 nt
Filed under: uncultured bacterium
Lineage: Bacteria
Description: partial 16S ribosomal RNA
Rfam family: Bacterial small subunit ribosomal RNA
Source: RNAcentral
GAGGAAAGAGGGCGGAGGGACGAAGAAAGGAAAGGAGAGAGAAAAGAAGAGGAGCUUGAGAAGGGGAGGGGAGCGGCGGACGGGUGAGUAAAACGUAGGGAAAAUAAGGAGAAGAAUGGGAUAAAUUAGGGAAAAUGGAGAUAAUACAGGAGAAUAUUUCGAAAAGUAUGGUUCAAUAGUGAAAGAUGGCUUUGCUAUCACUUAUCGAUGGACCUGCGCCGUAUUAGCUAGUUGGUAAGGUAACGGCUUAACAAGGAAACGAUACGUAGCCGACCUGAGAGAAUACUCGGCCACACUGAAACUGAGACACGAUCCAGACUCCUACGGGAGGCGGCAGUAGGGAAUCUUCCGCAAUGGGCGAAAGCCUGACGGAGCAACGCCGCGUGAGUGAUGAAGGUCUUCGGAUCUUAACCCUCUCUUCUUCUAUACGAACAAACGUGUAAGUAACUGUGCACGUCCUGACCGUACCUAAUCAUAAAGCCCCAGCUCCCUACGUU